Molecule: long non-coding RNA, 624 nt
Organism: Alexandromys fortis (reed vole)
Lineage: Eukaryota; Metazoa; Chordata; Mammalia; Rodentia; Cricetidae
Exons: 4
Source: RefSeq, a predicted model, not a curated record
UCCUGGAGUAUUUUGCUCUCCACGGGUGAUGCCUACACUCAGAAGAAGUGAGAACAGAAGGAGAGAGAGUAAAUCAUCGGAUGGACUUUGUAUCUCAAGCUAAUAAAAUGUUUCUGUGUACUGGAUUUAUGCCCAGGAGCCACAGGAAGAGAAUCCAGGAUUCCAGUCUUUCACGCCACGCAUAUAUUGAGACAUUUGUAUGUAUUUGUGUUUGGGUGGGGUAUGUUGACAAGAAUGCAUGUGCCCACAGAAGACAGAAGAUGAUGUUGAAUUCUCUGGAGCAGGAGUUACAGAUUGCUGUGAAUUACAUGAAUGUUUUCUCAAGCUGUGUUUCGGAGUUCCAUUGAGGUUGCAGGAUGAUAGAACCUUCAUCUGGUGAUGGAUGGAGAUAGAGACAGAGACCCACACUGGAGCACUGGACUGAGCUCCCAAGGUCCCAAUGAGGAGCGGAUGGAGGGAGAACAUGAGCAAGGAUGUCAGGACCACGAGGGGUGCACCCACCCACUGAGACAGUGGGUCUGAUCUAUUGGGAGCUCACCAAGGCCAGCUGGACUGUGAGUGAAAAAGCAUGGGAUAAAACCGGACUCUCUGAACAUGGCAAACAAUGAGGGCUAUUUGGACUGG